RNAcentral lists this ribosomal RNA (1277 nucleotides) under Mesobacillus subterraneus. RNAcentral's name for it is "bacterial SSU rRNA". It matches the Rfam family "Bacterial small subunit ribosomal RNA", at positions 84 to 1346 of the family's 1533-position model. RNAcentral also lists the same sequence under 1 other name. The record is from RNAcentral. Lineage: Bacteria; Bacillati; Bacillota; Bacilli; Caryophanales; Bacillaceae.
UUUGAAGAUCAGCGGCGGACGGGUGAGUAACACGUGGGCAACCUGCCUGUAAGACUGGGAUAACUUCGGGAAACCGGAGCUAAUACCGGAUAAUCCUUUCCCUCACAUGAGGGAAAGCUGAAAGACGGUUUCGGCUGUCACUUACAGAUGGGCCCGCGGCGCAUUAGCUAGUUGGUGAGGUAAUGGCUCACCAAGGCAACGAUGCGUAGCCGACCUGAGAGGGUGAUCGGCCACACUGGGACUGAGACACGGCCCAGACUCCUACGGGAGGCAGCAGUAGGGAAUCUUCCGCAAUGGACGAAAGUCUGACGGAGCAACGCCGCGUGAGCGAUGAAGGCCUUCGGGUCGUAAAGCUCUGUUGUCAGGGAAGAACAAGUACCGGAGUAACUGCCGGUACCUUGACGGUACCUGACCAGAAAGCCACGGCUAACUACGUGCCAGCAGCCGCGGUAAUACGUAGGUGGCAAGCGUUGUCCGGAAUUAUUGGGCGUAAAGCGCGCGCAGGCGGUUCCUUAAGUCUGAUGUGAAAGCCCCCGGCUCAACCGGGGAGGGUCAUUGGAAACUGGGGAACUUGAGUGCAGAAGAGGAGAGCGGAAUUCCACGUGUAGCGGUGAAAUGCGUAGAGAUGUGGAGGAACACCAGUGGCGAAGGCGGCUCUCUGGUCUGUAACUGACGCUGAGGCGCGAAAGCGUGGGGAGCGAACAGGAUUAGAUACCCUGGUAGUCCACGCCGUAAACGAUGAGUGCUAAGUGUUAGAGGGUUUCCGCCCUUUAGUGCUGCAGCAAACGCAUUAAGCACUCCGCCUGGGGAGUACGGCCGCAAGGCUGAAACUCAAAGGAAUUGACGGGGGCCCGCACAAGCGGUGGAGCAUGUGGUUUAAUUCGAAGCAACGCGAAGAACCUUACCAGGUCUUGACAUCCUCUGACAACCCUAGAGAUAGGGCGUUCCCCUUCGGGGGACAGAGUGACAGGUGGUGCAUGGUUGUCGUCAGCUCGUGUCGUGAGAUGUUGGGUUAAGUCCCGCAACGAGCGCAACCCUUGAUCUUAGUUGCCAGCAUUAAGUUGGGCACUCUAAGGUGACUGCCGGUGACAAACCGGAGGAAGGUGGGGAUGACGUCAAAUCAUCAUGCCCCUUAUGACCUGGGCUACACACGUGCUACAAUGGAUGGAACAAAGGGCAGCGAAGCCGCGAGGUGAAGCCAAUCCCAUAAAACCAUUCUCAGUUCGGAUUGCAGGCUGCAACUCGCCUGCAUGAAGCCGGAAUCGCUAGUAAUCGCG